AACGAACGCUGGCGGCGUGCCUAAGCACAUGCAAGUCGAGCGCGAAAUGGGGGGGCAACUUCCCCGAGUUAGAGCGGCGCACGGGUGAGUAACACGUGGUAACCUACCUCCGGGCGGGGGAUAACGACUCGAAAGGGUCGCUAAUACCGCAUGAGACCACGGGUCUUCGGAUCCUGGGGCCAAAGGCGGCACCGGCUUGCCGGUGCUGUCACCUGGAGAUGGGCCCGCGUCCGAUUAGCUAGUUGGCAGGGUAACGGCCUACCAAGGCUCCGAUCGGUAGCUGGUCUGAGAGGAUGGCCAGCCACACUGGAACUGGAACACGGUCCAGACUCCUACGGGAGGCAGCAGUGAGGAAUAUUGCGCAAUGGGGGAAACCCUGACGCAGCAACGCCGCGUGGGUGAAGAAGGCCUUCGGGUCGUAAAGCCCUUUCGGACGGGACGAACGCUUCGCGGCGACAACCCGCGAAGCUUGACGGUACCGUAGGAAGAAGCACCGGCUAACUCCGUGCCAGCAGCCGCGGUAA
RNAcentral lists this ribosomal RNA (524 nucleotides) under uncultured delta proteobacterium. RNAcentral describes it as "bacterial SSU rRNA". It matches the Rfam family "Bacterial small subunit ribosomal RNA", at positions 28 to 523 of the family's 1533-position model. Lineage: Bacteria; Deltaproteobacteria. The record is from RNAcentral.